UGGCGAACGGGUGAGUAACACGUGGGAACGUACCAUCUGCAGGGGGAUAACUGACCGAAAGGACAGCUAAUACCGCAUAAGUCCGGAAGGAGAAAGGUGCAAUAGCAUCGGCAGAAGAGCGGCCCGCGGUCCAUCAGCUAGUUGGUGAGGUAAGGGCUUACCAAGGCGACGACGGAUAGCCGGCGUGAGAGCGUGGCCGGCCACAAGGACACUGAGAUACGGGUCCUACUCCUACGGGAGGCAGCAGUGCGGAAUUUUAGAUAAUGGAGGGAACUCUGAUCUAGCGACGCCGCGUGCAGGAAGAAGGUCUUCGGAUUGUAAACUGCUGUGGUAAGGGAAAAAUGCUAUGUAGAGUGGAAAGCUACAUAGAGGGAUGGUACCUUACUAGAAAGCCCCGGCUAACUACGUGCCAGCAGCCGCGGUAAUACGUAGGGGGCGAGCGUUACCCGGAAUCACUGGGCGUAAAGGGAGCGUAGGUGGCCUAACAUGUCAACUG
This 496-nucleotide ribosomal RNA is filed under the name uncultured Kosmotoga sp. RNAcentral's name for it is "bacterial SSU rRNA". It matches the Rfam family "Bacterial small subunit ribosomal RNA", at positions 96 to 594 of the family's 1533-position model. Lineage: Bacteria; Thermotogati; Thermotogota; Thermotogae; Kosmotogales; Kosmotogaceae. The record is from RNAcentral.